AACGAACGCUGGCGGCAGGCCUAACACAUGCAAGUCGAACGAUACAGUGGCAGACGGGUGAGUAACGCGUGGGAACGUACCUUUCACUACGGAAUAGCUCCGGGAAACUGGUGGUAAUACCGUAUACGCCCUCAGGGGGAAAGAUUUAUCGGUGAAAGAUCGGCCCGCGUUGGAUUAGCUAGUUGGUGAGGUAAUGGCUCACAAAGGCGACGAUCCAUAGCUGGUCUGAGAGGAUGAUCAGCCACAUUGGGACUGAGACACGGCCCAAACUCCUACGGGAGGCAGCAGUGGGGAAUCUUGCACAAUGGGCGAAAGCCUGAUGCAGCCAUGCCGCGUGAAUGAUGAAGGCCUUAGGGUUGUAAAAUUCUUUCGUCAGGGAUGAUAAUGACCGUACCG
Molecule: ribosomal RNA, 396 nt
Filed under: uncultured bacterium
Lineage: Bacteria
Description: bacterial SSU rRNA
Rfam family: Bacterial small subunit ribosomal RNA
Source: RNAcentral